AAAAAAGAAGAAUGUAUGGAACUCAAAAUAAGCCACAAUCUUAUUUAAAACUAAGAAAACACCAAAUUAAGCAUUCAAAUCUCUCAACAAUGUCCAUAAUAAGAACAUGAGAAGAUAUAUGAAGAUACUACAGCACAUAAAAACUCUAAUUUGUAAGCACAGACACCACAAUAUAAAACGGUUGCUGGAAUCAAUGGUGACUACUUAGUUUCUGGGCUUGAAAUGGCCUUCGUUGGCCAGCUUAAAGAGCUGUCCCUGAGCAGCUGCAGCCUUGUUGGAGGAGAGUGCAGUUUUGAAACUCUCUCUGACUUGCCUUGUAGUGAAAGGAAAUUUGCUGCUUACCAUGGAGUUGAGCAAGGAAGCAGUGCCUUCUCUGUAGAGUGUCCCAUACCCAUCAGUACGUGCAUUUGAUAGUGCUUGUGGCAAGCUCAUGCUUGCUCCAAAUCCUGGCAUGCUAGUCACUCCAAAUGCGUUGCCUAGGUUUCCCCACCAUCCCAGGAGACCCCAUAUUAAUCCAGGAUGAUUCUUCCAGUAAUUGCACGUGAAUGGCGAACUCGGAUCGGGAAUAAAUGGAGGCGAGGGAACGAAAGGGGUGCUUGGUGUUGGUGGGUUCGCGAUGACCGGUGUUGGAGGACUACCACCAGAGCUCGGAGGAGAGGGGUGGGAGCCACCAGUGCUUGGAGGAGAGUGGUGGUGUCCACGACCGCUUGGAGGAUUUGAAGGUUUUGAUGGAGUAGGCACACUUGGUGGAGUUCCACAAUUUCCAUGGGAUGGGGACGGGGAUGGGGUUGUGUGGGUGGGUGGUGUGCCACCAUAUCCACCUCCAUGUGAUGGAGUACUACCACUUCCAUGGGGAGGGCUUCCGUGUGAUUCUGUAGGGGGACUUCUUGGAUUUGGGUCUGGGAAUGGGAAGAAGCUCUUUUGAUCUUCAAAGUUUGUAGCCAUUACAGGAACAGUGACCAAGUUUUGGCAAAGCAAACCUGCAGCGACUAAAACCCACAUCAACAUUGAGGCCUGAUUGCAUUCCUCCUUCCCCAUGAUCUCUGUGCUUGAAGAAACACAAAUGGAGAUUUUGAAAGACGAUGAGCAGCCAAGAGAAGGGAGCGGGUGAUUAUAUAAGGAAGACAGAGAGUGGCAGGUCAAGGAGUUGAUGGUUACUUGAUGUGUUAUAGAAGGGCAUAAAGACCUACUUUUA
RNAcentral lists this unclassified non-coding RNA (1195 nucleotides) under Hevea brasiliensis (rubber tree). The record is from RNAcentral. Lineage: Eukaryota; Viridiplantae; Streptophyta; Magnoliopsida; Malpighiales; Euphorbiaceae.